This 377-nucleotide ribosomal RNA is filed under the name uncultured bacterium. Its description in RNAcentral is "bacterial SSU rRNA". It matches the Rfam family "Bacterial small subunit ribosomal RNA", at positions 523 to 898 of the family's 1533-position model. The record is from RNAcentral.
AUACGGGGGGAGCAAGCGUUGUCCGGAUUCAUUGGGCAUAAAGGGCGUGUAGGUGGAUCAGUAAGUGAGAGGUGAAAUCCUGGGGCUUAACUCCGGAACUGCCUUUCAUACUGCUGAUCUCGAGUGCGGGAGAGGAAGAUGGAAUUCCUGGUGUAGCGGUGGAAUGCGUAGAUAUCAGGAAGAACACCGGUGGCGAAGGCUGUCUUCUGGCCCGAUACUGACACUAAGGCGCGAAAGCGUGGGGAGCAAACAGGAUUAGAUACCCUGGUAGUCCACGCUGUAAACGAUGGGCACUAGGUGUUGGACGAUUCGACCCGUUCGGUGCCGUAGCUAACGCGUUAAGUGCCCCGCCUGGGGAGUACGAUCGCAAGGUUGAA